Long non-coding RNA from Peromyscus leucopus (white-footed mouse), 331 nucleotides. RefSeq lists it as uncharacterized. The record is from RefSeq and is a predicted model, not a curated record. The transcript is spliced from 3 exons. NCBI's taxonomy places the organism in Eukaryota, Metazoa, Chordata, Mammalia, Rodentia, Cricetidae.
CAGAGGGGCGUAGCGAAAGGGAGGAAUUGACCCGGAGGAAGAUGCAGGCCUGUGGUGCAUGGGGGCGUAGAGGAGAAUUCAGGCUGCGUAUCACAGCACUGCUCCUCAACGGAGAAACUGAGGACCCUCAACAUUAUCUGAAGGUCUCAUGCCCUGCAGGACAGCUUGAUUUGGCUGAAGUUAAAACACGUACACACUAUUGUAUGGAGGUGGGAGACAUCUUCCUGAGCUGGAAGCUGAAUACUCGGCCCCUUGAUUCUUGAGGAAUAUUCUGGAACAUAUAAACAGGAGUCCUUGCCAUUUUGCUCUGUGACUCCCCAGCGCUUUGGUG